ACAGACCAGAGUGGGUACCAACCCCGUACAGUGAGCCGCCCUCCGCGGGCUGAGCGCUGGGCGGGGAGUCCGGUCAGCGCCCGGUGUCUGCCCGAGGAUGGUGGUCCUGAUGCUGAGGCUCCCUUUUCAAUGCUAGAAUGGUGUGUCCUCGAACAAGUAGAAAGAAAAGAAUUAUCCUGAGUACUGCACUAAAACUCUCUUGGUGGUAAUUACGGAAAGGAAAGCCAUCAAUCAGCAGACAAUAGUUAUGCUGCAUGUGGGAGACUUCUAAGAAUGUGCACAAAAAAACGAAAAGACACAGAAACUUAUACAAAGAGAAAAUCAACAAAACUACAGGAGAGAACCAAAGCUCUUAUGAAUGCAUUCAACAGCUAAAUUGGAGAUCUGAAUACAAAUCAGUCAGUAUUUGUGCUCAACAGAAGAUACUAUUACCCAGACAAUAAUGAAAGCAGAAGGGAAAGAUAAGUUAUCAUUGUGCCGUAAAGAUUGGAGAGGCGAACAAUUCCAGUAAAACCCACACUGUUACCAGUAGCAACAAGUAGCAGCU
Long non-coding RNA from Callorhinchus milii (elephant shark), 547 nucleotides. RefSeq lists it as uncharacterized. The transcript has 4 exons. The record is from RefSeq and is a predicted model, not a curated record. Lineage: Eukaryota; Metazoa; Chordata; Chondrichthyes; Chimaeriformes; Callorhinchidae.